Molecule: ribosomal RNA, 402 nt
Filed under: uncultured prokaryote
Description: bacterial SSU rRNA
Rfam family: Bacterial small subunit ribosomal RNA
Source: RNAcentral
UAGGGAAUAUUAGAAAUGGACGAAAGUCUGAUCUAGCAACACCGCGUGUGCGAAGAAGGCCUUCGGGUUGUAAAGCACUUUUUGGAAGGAAUAGGAAGGAAUGUACUUCCAGAAUAAGUCUCGGCUAACUACGUGCCAGCAGCCGCGGUAACACGUAGGAGGCGAACGUUAUCCGGAUUUACUGGGCGUAAAGCGCGUGUAGGUGGUUCUGUAAGUAGGGCGUGAAAGCUCCUGGCUCAACUGGGAGAGGCCGUUCUAAACUACAGAACUAGAGGAUGGUAGAGGGAGGUGGAAUUCCAGGUGUAGCGGUGGAAUGCGUAGAUAUCCGGAGGAACACCAGUGGCGAAAGCGGCCUCCUGGCCCAUUUCUGACGCUCAGACACGAAAGCUAAGGUAGCAAACG